GCCGGGCAUGGUGGCACAUGCCUAUAAUCCCUGCUACUCGAGAGGCUGAGACAAGAGGAUUGUGAGUUCAAAGCCAACCUCAGCAAAGGCGCUAAGCAACUCAUUGAGACCCUGUCUCUA
Molecule: small RNA, 120 nt
Filed under: Marmota monax (woodchuck)
Lineage: Eukaryota; Metazoa; Chordata; Mammalia; Rodentia; Sciuridae
Source: RNAcentral